Molecule: ribosomal RNA, 233 nt
Filed under: uncultured bacterium
Lineage: Bacteria
Description: partial 16S ribosomal RNA
Rfam family: Bacterial small subunit ribosomal RNA
Source: RNAcentral
AAUCAACGCUGGCGGCGUGCCUCAGACAUGCAAGUCGAACGCGAAAGUCCCCUUCGGGGGACGAAGUAGAGUGGCGCACGGGUGAGUAACACGUAGGUAAUCUACCUUCGGAGUGGGAAUAACAACCGGGAAACGGUUGCUAAUACCGCAUAAUGCAGCGGCACCUAAUGGCGACAGUUGUUAAGCGGGGAGUUGAAGACCUCGNGUCUGAAGAGGAGCCUGCGGCGGAUUAG